UUCAUGUCGAAUCAUUAGUUGAUCAAUGUUGUUGUUUCUCUUGUGUGCAUUUGCAGUGCGAUGGAAAUUUUUUGUAUUCCUGUCCCCUUCUUUGAGCCACAGAGCUCUUGAUUUUUGUCUCCAUACAAUUUCUUCAUUCUUGAGUUGUUCCUCAAUCUCCAUUAGAGUAGCUGUUUUCCUCACUGAUUCCUCCUCUGUCAGCGCUCUUAGUUGUUGUGUUGUCUCAAAACCUGCUAGUUGACUUAGCAAUUUUGAUUUUUGCAGUCCCAAAUUACCUUCAUAAACUCUGCUCCAUUCUUUUAGCUUGCCCUUGAGAGCUUUUAACUUGCAAGCUAAAAUGUAAUCUGGUCGUCCUGAGAAUUCAAAAGAUGUCCACCAGUCUCUAAUUUUGUCAUCAAAACCUUCCACAUUCAGCCACCAAUUUUCAAACUUAAAGUAUGAUUUAGCUUGUUCCCACGCACCACAGUAUAGAGCCACAGGUGAAUGGUCCGAAAUGAACCUUUGUUGGAUAGUUUGCUUGAUGUUUCUGAAGCUUUCAUCCCAUUCUUCUGAAAUGAGAAAUCUGUCAAUUCUUGAAGCGGCUGUAUGAUUGUCCCCUUUGAACCAAGUAUAGUAGCCUCUUUCAAGUCGUAGAUCUAUCAACUCCAUAUCUUCUAUAAAAUCCGAGAAUUCCACCAUCGCUUUGGACCUCCUUGAACAUUCUCGUUUUUCAGAAGGGUACCUUGUAACAUUAAAAUCGCCACAAACCGCCCAAGGACCUUCCAUCAAUCCCCUCACUGCACCAAUUUCUCUCCAUACUAUUUUCCUUUCUACUCUACAAUUUGGGGCAUACACUCCUGUUAUGUGACAUUGAAAAUUCUGUAAAAGAGCCUCGAACUUGCAAGUCAAAGUGUAUGCACCAGUCUGUAACACCUCCCCUUUCCAUACUCUGCAAUCCCAUAAUAACAAAAUCCCCCCUCUCGUGCCGCUAGCUUCUAAUCUUGCAUACCUCACCCAUCUACCACCCCAUAUUUGACUGAUUAUUUCCUUGAUAUCCCCCUGCACUUUUGUCUCUUGCAUGCAUAUAAUGUCUGCCCUCCAGUUCUGCACUUGACUUUUUAUGAUCUCUUUUUUCUUCUUGUCGUUUAAUCCCCUUACAUUCCAGGAAAUUACUUUGAUCUUCAUAUUGAAAUGAUUGAUAGAUCUCUUCCCCUACUCCUUUUCCCGUCACUCUUGAAUUUGACAUCAAACGAAGUUAAACCUUUUAAUUCCAGUGAUCCUUAGAAUAUUUGUUUCUUCACCUCCAACUCUGUCUCCACCCUUCUAACCUGUCUGCAACUGUCAAUUUGCAUUAACAACUCCAAUGCUUCUUCUUCAUGGCCUUGAAAAUCUACUCCAAACAUUUUCCCCAAUUUGAUAAUAUUUUGAUGGACCCAUAGUGUUGCAUCCAUGUCUAUCCAUUAAUGGAUUGUGUUGCUGAACUGCUAUAGGAUUCACCUCCUCGAUUUCCCAAUCUUGGAUAGAGCUAAAGUGCUUUAGUUGUUCCAAAGCACUUCCAACUUGAUCUUCCCCCAUAUUUGUGUAUAUGCUCUGCUCCCCUGCCUUCUGUUCCAGUCUUGCUAUCUCUGUUCCACCUUCUGGCUGACUGCAACUGUUAAGUGUUGCCUUUGGCAUACUUUCAAGGUUUUCAUUGGGGAUUGGAUCCCCUGGAGUGGACUCUUUUGCCCCUAGGUAAGAAGGUCCUCCCAUUUCCUCAAUACAAGGCUUCAGCCUAAUAUCAUCAGAAAACUCACACGAGAGAUCAUUAAAAAUGACUUGUGCAGCCAAGUCGGAGUCAUAGGAUUUCAGCUCGUUGUUUGUCACUUUACUGCUCUGAUUCAUCGAACUCGAACCUUGUGUAAGUUGCACACUUGCCUUUCCUUUAUCAGUGUUUUGCAAUAUGGUGCACCCCACUUGAUUGUUCAAAUAUCUCUCUAUUUCAAAACAUUGUUCGUUUUCUUGCAUCUUCAGCUCAUAUCUUGUCUGUCUUUCAGCCCAGAUUGGGAUGAAAAAUUUGAUACCGUCUCUUUUAAUCCCAACCUCAUUGGGAGUCUUUCUGCCAUCACCAACAAUUUUAAUUCUUGCCCACUUAAGAUGAUUUUUGAGAUCAGUUUCUUCUUCAGUAGCUAUCCAUCCCCCACAGAGAUCUCCUAUUUCUUUGAAGAUCUUUUGUGACCAUAGAUGUAAAGGAAUCCCCAUGGCUCUAAUCCAGCAUGUUUCCUCGAUUUGUGAGUUUGGAAUGCAUCCAGCAGUAUUACUCCACCAUUCCAGAUGAAGCUUGAACUUUUUCCAACUCCAUUCUCCUUGCAUAAUCUGCUCCGCCAUGAAUCUGUUUGGAAAUUCAAAAAGAAACAUGUUGCCUGUCAUUUUAUACAUGUUUACUCCAUAUGCUUCGUUCCAUGACGCACUAGCCCAUCGCCUUAUAUCUGCUAAAGUGGGUCUCUCAUUGAUUUCUUUCCCAAAAAACCCGACAAUGCAUCUUUUUAGUAAACCAGAAUCCUCGCUACCUGUCGGUUCCACAACAGAGAUAUCUCCAUUGUUUAUGCUGACCUUUGCCUCUCGAAGGGUAUUGGAUUGCCAUUUACUCUCCU
RNAcentral lists this long non-coding RNA (2609 nucleotides) under Nicotiana tabacum (common tobacco). RNAcentral describes it as "long non-coding RNA (NTAB_LNC012494)". The record is from RNAcentral. Lineage: Eukaryota; Viridiplantae; Streptophyta; Magnoliopsida; Solanales; Solanaceae.